AUUGAACGCUGGCGGCAGGCCUAACACAUGCAAGUCGAGCGGAUGAAGGGAGCUUGCUCCUGGAUUCAGCGGCGGACGGGUGGGUAAUGCCUAGGAAUCUGCCUGGUAGUGGGGGAUAACGUCCGGAAACGGGCGCUAAUACCGCAUACGUCCUGAGGGAGAAAGUGGGGGAUCUUCGGACCUCACGCUAUCAGAUGAGCCUAGGUCGGACUAGCUAGUUGGUGGGAUAAAGGCCUACCAAGGCGACGAUCCGUAACUGGUCUGAGAGGAUGAUCAGUCACACUGGAACUGAGACACGGUCCAGACUCCUACGGGAGGCAGCAGUGGGGAAUAUUGGACAAUGGGCGAAAGCCUGAUCCAGCCAUGCCGCGUGUGUGAAGAAGGUCUUCGGAUUGUAAAGCACUUUAAGUUGGGAGGAAGGGCAGUAAGUUAAUACCUUGCUGUUUUGACGUUACCAACAGAAUAAGCACCGGCUAACUUCGUG
RNAcentral lists this ribosomal RNA (484 nucleotides) under uncultured bacterium. Its description in RNAcentral is "partial 16S ribosomal RNA". It matches the Rfam family "Bacterial small subunit ribosomal RNA", at positions 30 to 507 of the family's 1533-position model. The record is from RNAcentral.